This 483-nucleotide ribosomal RNA is filed under the name uncultured bacterium. Its description in RNAcentral is "partial 16S ribosomal RNA". It matches the Rfam family "Bacterial small subunit ribosomal RNA", at positions 30 to 506 of the family's 1533-position model. The record is from RNAcentral.
AUUGAACGCUGGCGGCAGGCCUAACACAUGCAAGUCGAGCGGAUGAAGGGAGCUUGCUCCUGGAUUCAGCGGCGGACGGGUGAGUAAUGCCUAGGAAUCUGCCUGGUAGUGGGGGAUAACGUCCGGAAACGGGCGCUAAUACCGCAUACGUCCUGAGGGAGAAAGUGGGGGAUCUUCGGACCUCACGCUAUCAGAUGAGCCUAGGUCGGAUUAGCUAGUUGGUGGGGUAAAGGCCUACCAAGGCGACGAUCCGUAACUGGUCUGAGAGGAUGAUCAGUCACACGGGAACUGGGAAACGGCCCAGACUCCUACGGGAGGCAGCAGUGGGGAAUAUUGGACAAUGGGCGAAAGCCUGAUCCAGCCAUGCCGCGGGUGUGAAAAAGGUCUUCGGAUUGUAAAGCCUUUUAAGUUGGGAGGAAGGGCAGUAAGUUAAUACCUUGCUGUUUGGACGUUACCAACAAAAUAAGCACCGGCUAACUUCGG